Molecule: transfer RNA, 76 nt
Filed under: Dehalococcoidia bacterium
Lineage: Bacteria; Bacillati; Chloroflexota; Dehalococcoidia
Description: tRNA-His
Rfam family: tRNA
About the family: Transfer RNA (tRNA) molecules are approximately 80 nucleotides in length. Their secondary structure includes four short double-helical elements and three loops (D, anti-codon, and T loops).
Source: RNAcentral
GUGGGCGUAGCCGAGUGGUCAAGGCGCCAGAUUGUGGCUCUGGAGAUCGAGGGUUCGAACCCCUCCGUCCACCCCA